GCUUCUUUUCCACGCCAAACCAACGUCCUCCGAAUUAAUGAAACUUAAUUUGGCGUUCCUGCCUUGGACCUAUUUGGCGCGCUGAGCUCGUUCUCUUCAGUCUUCACCGUCAUGCGUCGUCGUGGAGGGAGGGAUUUUCUUAGACUCGUAGAGAUCUAGAUUUCUAUUGCGUGCUGCGGUCCAUGGAGAUCGAUAAAUCAAUGAGAGUGCGACCGACGGCUUCAAACGAAGUACGACAACACUAUCCAUGUCAUUCAGAGAGCAUUAGCUUUGUAUUCUAUUGAGGAGGUUGCCUUCAGCUUCAUCGGUGGAAAAGAUUCAACAAUAGGUCGUGCUGCACCUGCUCAGGGCUGGUUAUUUCUUGCAUAGAAGGGGGCAAAAUGGUGCCAAUGGGGAUCUAAGAGAUUUUCCAAUUCGAACAACAUAUUUUGAGAGUCCUUGUGCUUUCCUAGAAAUCAACUCAUUUACCUAUAAUACGGCUGCCAUGCAUGCAGCAAAAUAUUAAUGUUGGCAGCUUAAAUUGCAGCUUGACAUCGUUCGCUUAGAUUAGAAGUCUGGUUUUGAGGCUUUGCUGAAGGAUAAGAUUGUGGUGAAGCCUUUGGAAGGGUGUGGGUGAUUCUUACGACAUGAGGAAAUGAACAUUCGAGUGGCACAUGAACUUGUCAUUCCUACUCAAGGGAAUCCACACAGGUUAUCGGGUGGUCUAUAGCAGUUCUUGGAUUGCUUAUGCACUCUCGAGGUCUGUGCGAUCCUUAACAGUCAUUUCCAAAACUGUCCAGAGAUAUCGUCCCCUCCUAUCCAGGCAAUGCAUCACUAACUUGACGUUGCGCUAAUUCGUGAUCGGGUAGCUUGACCUUCAUUGCUCGCAGUAUUUUCUUGUGAUCAAAUUUACAUGGCAUAGUUUUAGUUGAGUCACAGACCUUUUUCUUGCAUAAUUUUUGUUGUGUUCGUUGUUUGAUUCCGUUUGUGAGCGGAGUGGACAUGAUUUUGUGGUAGCGAGCCCUGAAUUUUUUGUAAAUUGUAAAGCAAACUAUAGACCCUAUGUGUCAAGGAGGGAGAUCCUGCCUAAUCCAUCAUAAUGUCGCAUGUUAAGAUUGUGGUGAAGCCUUUGGAAGGGUGUGGGUGAUUCUUACGACAUGAGGAAAUGAACAUUCGAGUGGCACAUGAACUUGUCAUUCCUACUCAAGGGAAUCCACACAGGUUAUCGGGUGGUCUAUAGCAGUUCUUGGAUUGCUUAUGCACUCUCGAGGUCUGUGCGAUCCUUAACAGUCAUUUCCAAAACUGUCCAGAGAUAUCGUCCCCUCCUAUCCAGGCAAUGCAUCACUAACUUGACGUUGCGCUAAUUCGUGAUCGGGUAGCUUGACCUUCAUUGCUCGCAGUAUUUUCUUGUGAUCAAAUUUACAUGGCAUAGUUUUAGUUGAGUCACAGACCUUUUUCUUGCAUAAUUUUUGUUGUGUUCGUUGUUUGAUUCCGUUUGUGAGCGGAGUGGACAUGAUUUUGUGGUAGCGAGCCCUGAAUUUUUUGUAAAUUGUAAAGCAAACUAUAGACCUUAUGUGUCAAGGAGGGAGAUCCUGCCUAAUCCAUCAUAAUGUCGCUUGUUAAGAUUGUGGUGAAGCCUUUGGAAGGGUGUGGGUGAUUCUUACGACAUGAGGAAAUGAACAUUCGAGUGGCACAUGAACUUGUCAUUCCUACUCAAAGGAAUGCUCACAGACUAUCGGGCGGUCCAUAGCAGUUCUUGGAUUGCUUAUGCACUCUCGAGGUCUGUGCGAUCCUUAACAGUCAUUUCCAAAACUGUCCAGAGAUAUCGUCCCCUCCUAUCCAGGCAACGCAUCACUAACUUGACGUUGCGCUAAUUCGUGAUCGGGUAGCUUGACCUUCAUUGCUCGCAGUAUUUUCUUGUGAUCAAAUUUACAUGGCAUAGUUUUAGUUGAGUCACAGACCUUUUUCUUGCAUAAUUUUUGUUGUGUUCGUUGUUUGAUUCCGUUUGUGAGCGGAGUGGACAUGAUUUUGUGGUAGCGAGCCCUGAAUUUUUUGUAAAUUGUAAAGCAAACUAUAGACCCUAUGUGUCAAGGAGGGAGAUCCUGCCUAAUCCAUCAUAAUGUCGCUUGUUAAGAUUGUGGUGAAGCCUUUGGAAGGGUGUGGGUGAUUCUUACGACAUGAGGAAAUGAACAUUCGAGUGGCACAUGAACUUGUCAUUCCUACUCAAAGGAAUGCUCACAGACUAUCGGGCGGUCCAUAGCAGUUCUUGGAUUGCUUAUGCACUCUCGAGGUCUGUGCGAUCCUUAACAGUCAUUUCCAAAACUGUCCAGAGAUAUCGUCCCCUCCUAUCCAGGCAACGCAUCACUAACUUGACGUUGCGCUAAUUCGUGAUCGGGUAGCUUGACCUUCAUUGCUCGCAGUAUUUUCUUGUGAUCAAAUUUACAUGGCAUAGUUUUAGUUGAGUCACAGACCUUUUUCUUGCAUAAUUUUUGUUGUGUUCGUUGUUUGAUUCCGUUUGUGAGCGGAGUGGACAUGAUUUUGUGGUAGCGAGCCCUGAAUUUUUUGUAAAUUGUAAAGCAAACUAUAGACCCUAUGUGUCAAGGAGGGAGAUCCUGCCUAAUCCAUCAUAAUGUCGCUUGUUAAGAUUGUGGUGAAGCCUUUGGAAGGGUGUGGGUGAUUCUUACGACAUGAGGAAAUGAACAUUCGAGUGGCACAUGAACUUGUCAUUCCUACUCAAAGGAAUGCUCACAGACUAUCGGGCGGUCCAUAGCAGUUCUUGGAUUGCUUAUGCACUCUCGAGGUCUGUGCGAUCCUUAACAGUCAUUUCCAAAACUGUCCAGAGAUAUCGUCCCCUCCUAUCCAGGCAACGCAUCACUAACUUGACGUUGCGCUAAUUCGUGAUCGGGUAGCUUGACCUUCAUUGCUCGCAGUAUUUUCUUGUGAUCAAAUUUACAUGGCAUAGUUUUAGUUGAGUCACAGACCUUUUUAUUGCAUAAUUUUUGUUGUGUUCGUUGUUUGAUUCUGCUUGUGAGCGGAGUGGACAUGAUUUUGUGAUAGCGAGCCCUGAAUUUUUUAUAAAUUGUAAAGCAAACUAUAGAGCUUAUGUGGCAAGAAGGGGGAUCCUGCCUAAGCUAUCACAAUGUCGUGUGUUAAGAUUGUGGUGAAGCCUUUGGAAGGGUGUGGGUGAUUCUUACGACAUGAGGAAAUGAACAUUCGAGGGGCACAUGAACUUAUCAUUCCUACUCAAGGGAAUCCACACAGGUUAUCGGGUGGUCUAUAGCAGUUCUUGGAUUGCUUAUGCACUCUCGAGGUCUGUGCGAUCCUUAACAGUCAUUUCCAAAACUGUCCAGAGAUAUCGUCCCCUCCUAUCCAGGCAACGCAUCACUAACUUGACGUUGCGCUAAUUCGUGAUCGGGUAGCUUGACCUUCAUUGCUCGCAGUAUUUUCUUGUGAUCAAAUUUACAUGGCAUAGUUUUAGUUGAGUCACAGACCUUUUUAUUGCAUAAUUUUUGUUGUGUUCGUUGUUUGAUUCCGUUUGUGAGUUGAGUGGACAUGAUUUUGUGGUAGCGAGCCCUGAAUUUUUAUAAAUUGUAAAGCAAACUAUAGAGCUUAUGUGUCAAGAAGGGGGAUCCUACCUAAGCUAUCAUAAUGUCGCGUGUUAAGAUUGUGGUGAAGCCUUUGGAAGGGUGUGGGUGAUUCUUACGACAUGAGGAAAUGAACAUUCAAGUAGUGUGUGAACUUAUCAUUCCUACUCAUCGGAAUCCUCAUAGAUUAUCGGGUGGUCCAUAGCAGUUCUUUGAUUGCUUAUGCACUGUCGAGGUCUGUGCGAUCCUUAACAGUCAUUUCCAAAACUAUCCAAAGAUAUUGUGCCCUCCUAUCUAGGCAAUCCAUUGCUAACUUGAUGAUGUGUUAAUUCAUGAUUGGGUAGUCUGACCUUCAAUGGUCAAAGUCUUCUCUUCUAGUCAAAUUUACAUGGCACAUUUUUACUCUCUUUUUAUAGUCCUAGCCCCUUUUCUUUCAUUUUUUGUUUUCAUUGUCUGAUUUGUGCUUUGAGCGUGGUGAAUGUGAUCUUGUGUUAGCAAGUUCUGAAAUUUGUAUAAAUUAUAUUAGUCUUUAUAUACUUGAUUUCAUAUUUCUUGUACGAACUUUUGCUUUCAAAAUAAAUGGGCUUUGUUUUCUCUUUAUAAAUAUUAAUUGGUUUUUAAUUUUAAUAUUGCUUACAUUUUUCAUUAUACUAACUCAAUUUUAUUUUGUUUACAUUACGGUUGCCAUCCAAAUCUUCCAUUUUAACUUUUCAUUAAAAAUUUAUAUGUCUAUUUUAAGCUUAAGUUUAUUGUAUAAAAAUAAUUUUUGACUUUUUUGUUUGUUUCUUUUGCUAUUGAUUGCAUAUUUAAUAUCUUAUUUUAAGUUUAAAUACAAACAAAAUUUUUUAAUCACUUUUAGGUAUGGUUUUCUGAAUUUUCUGGAAUAUUUCUGUGCAAAACAUGGGAAUACUUCUAGUUUAUUUUAAUUGGAUAUUGUUUUAACAAUAUCUAUUAGAAAUGACUGCAAAUUUUCUGUUCCAAGGAGCAUUAUUCGUUAAAGAUCUAUUAGAAAUGACUACAAAUAUUCCUUUCCAAAGAGCGUUAUUUCUCAUUGGGCGGUUGUAGAAAGGAGGACGCCUUUUGCUGGUUCUGUUGCCGCUGAGUCAUGCCACUGUCCAAUUAUUAGUGAAAAUUGUGUGUUAAAAUAAAAUUUAAUUUAUGAACUUUAAUGACCAUCAAUCUUCUUGCAACUUGUUGACCUUGUUUUAUCGGGAAAAAACGGAGCAGGAGAAAAAAAAAAGUAAUGAUAACGAUAUAGAAGAAUGCAUAAUCUUCAUUUGUUGAUAUUAAUGCGUACUAAAUAUAUUUCUUCCUGCAGUAUUGAGGAGGUUACCUUCAGCUUCUGUCUUUGAACUCAAUGACAGCAACAGUGAACUUUGAUUUUUAGGUCUUGUUGCACCUGCUCAGGGUUGGUUAUUUCUUGCAUAAAAAGGGGCGAAAUGGUGCCCAUGGGUGUCUAAGAGAUUUUCCAAUUGGAACAAUAAAAAGAGACUCCUUGUGCUUUCCUAGAAAUCAACUCAUUUACCUAUGCUGCCAUGUGAGUGGAGCAUUAUAAAGUCAUAGUUUACUUUUAUGGGACAGCUUGACAUCAUUCGCUGAAGGAGAAGCCAAUUAAAGCUAUUUUCCUUGGAGUUUGUAUUGGUCGGCCAAGAACAAUUCUCCCCUAGUUCGUCUGGUUGGCCACCUUUUAUGACAGUGAACGUCAUUUUAGAUUGGUCAUACAGGUUUUCAUUGAAGCCUUUGGAAGGGUGAGGGUGAUUCUUAUGAGGUGAGGAAAUGGACAUUCAAGUAGUUUAUGAACUUAUCAUUCCUACUCAAGGGAGUUCUCACAGAUUAUUGGGUGGUCCAUAACGGUUCGUUGAUUGCUAAUGCACUAUCGAGGAUGCUAUAGUUUAAGAUUGAGCGGUUAAGUUUCAAUGAUAACGGUCAUCUCACCUGGUCAAAUUUACACGAGAGGUAAAUGCAAGUGAAAUUAAACACACAAAUUUUCUUUCAAAGGGAGGCUGAAAAAAUUCUGGCAAAAAAGAAAAAACAGUGGCUAGGAAGUAGGAAAAUCCAGAGUAGAUGACACCAUGUGAGAGACUUAACUGGGAUGAAGAUGAUAAAAAGCCCCCCAACUCAGAGAACCGAAGAUGUCAUCAAAGUAUAGAAGAACAUGCACGUAGUCAAAGUAGAGAGGAGUAAGAUAAUUCCCAACGCACAAAGCUAAGCAUGUUUUUUAAGUAAAGAUGAAGUAAAGAGGAGAACAAGCUCCAACGCAAAAAGUUGAAGAUAGUGUCAAGAAGAUGGAACAAGAAAAGAGGACUAGGAAACUAACACAUACAACAAAAUCCCCCUCCAGUGAAAAAGGCUUGCCUUAAGGUGGCACGUCAUCUCUAGCCAUUUUACCAAAAGCUUCUAUGAGAGACUGUUUGAGCUUUUCUGUUGUAGUUAAACCAGCGUCCUUGGGCCUUACUUUGUUGCCUUCUGUUCUUAACAUUCUGCUGAACGUUAAAACCAGGUUAGGUGGGUGUUUUAUCAGGGGCUUUACUAUCAUUUUCACAUUUUAUAAGAUUAAAUUAUUAUUAUUUU
This is a long non-coding RNA of Prosopis cineraria, 6134 nucleotides long. RefSeq lists it as uncharacterized. NCBI's taxonomy places the organism in Eukaryota, Viridiplantae, Streptophyta, Magnoliopsida, Fabales, Fabaceae. The record is from RefSeq and is a predicted model, not a curated record. The transcript has 13 exons.